UAGAGAGAGACCCACUUUGGCGAUUUCUUUUGUUUCAUAGAGGCAACAUUUUCCAUCUAAAAUGCUCUGGUUUAUUCCAGAAAAAGAAGGGGGAAGAUAAAGCAUUCAGACUCGAAGUGUAACAAGAAAUGACAAUGAAUCCAGGAAGAUGUGGUUGCAGGACGUGAACAGAGUACAGAGCUGGAUGCGGCUUUAAAGCUCUGAAGAUUCAGAAAGCAGCUCUCUAAGCGCUGAGCAACCAUUUAUCAAUAUUACGGUUGGACUCAUUGCUCUCCCUGCCCUGGAGCUUUUGCCGAAGUCUCCUUCCAAUCAGUCAGCUCACGCUUUAAUCCAGUUAAUACCACUGAGCACUGGAGUCCCUUUCCUGCCGUAGCUUUUCUUCAGUCCAAGACGAAAGGAGAAACGUUUAGAUUCACAAGAGGUCUGUGUUUUCCAGCAUACUGAAGCAAUAUCAGAUAUAUGUGAAAAAAAGGAAGCAGAUUGUUUUCUUUCUUUUGGACAGAUGUGAGAAAUCUGUACAGUUUCUCAAACUCAGGUGAAGGUAAACUAGGCCUGUGUCUGCUGCAUGGCUCACCUGACUGCCAGAUAUGUUAAGGAAGUUAGUUGAUGAUGACAAUCAGAAUCCCAGAGGGGCACGUGGGUGGCUUAGUUGAUUGAGCAUCCGACUUCAGCUCAGGUCGUGAUCUUGCCAUUCCUGAACUUGAGCCCCACACUACGCUCACUGCUGUUGGUACAGAGACUGCAUUGGAUCCUCUGUCCCACUCUCUCUGCCCCUCCCCAGCUUGUGCUCUCUGAAAAAUAAAUAAACAUUAAAAAAAAAUAACAAAAAACAAGAACCCCAGAGACCUGGUCUACCAGGAAUUUGCAGUUUUAAUAAAAAAGGGAUGUCUACUAGUGCUGUGCUGUCUGUACUUUACUUUAAAACAAUUUCGCAUAGACAAUGAUUUAGUUUCAGUGUACAACAGCGGUUUCAGAGGACAUCCGAAAGAUGCUUCGUUACGAUUCAAAGUACUCUGAUUAGGAACACACUACGGGAAUAGUUAUCCAAUGUCGGAGAGAUGUGAGUCAGAGACCUAUACUCUCAGAGGAGCUAUUUCCAAACUU
Long non-coding RNA from Lynx canadensis (Canada lynx), 1104 nucleotides. RefSeq lists it as uncharacterized. The record is from RefSeq and is a predicted model, not a curated record. The transcript has 3 exons. NCBI's taxonomy places the organism in Eukaryota, Metazoa, Chordata, Mammalia, Carnivora, Felidae.